This is a long non-coding RNA of Siniperca chuatsi (mandarin fish), 568 nucleotides long. RefSeq lists it as uncharacterized. The transcript has 2 exons. The record is from RefSeq and is a predicted model, not a curated record. NCBI's taxonomy places the organism in Eukaryota, Metazoa, Chordata, Actinopteri, Centrarchiformes, Sinipercidae.
GUCAACUGGAAUAAGAAAAAACGUCUGUUUGGACAGGGAAGUGUGCACUGACCACGCCCAUCAUCACUACAACAAUGACGUCUGCCUGUCGCCAUCUAGUGGUCGAUAGUGACGCCUGCAUCGCCGCUGUUUGCGCAAUACAUGGAUGGCUUUGGAUUUGCUCCUGUUUUUCCUCACUGUCUGAUGGAAGCUGGGAACAGGGGCCUGGCUCACCCAUCCACUCUGACCAGAUGUCAGCCAUCAAGCCCAGACUCUUUGCCACAGGUGUGGGGGUUCCUGGAGCAAAGACUUUUCCUACUCCUUUUUGUCCAGGUCAAGGAUGAGUGAAAUUAUUUCCCAAGGCCUUUUCCAUCACUGUAGGAGGCCUUGUUAGCAGUUAUCUGACUGGUAUCAUUUUGUUACAUCUUUGGUUUACUUUCAACACACAGUGAGCUUAAGUUUGCUGAUCAGAGAGAUGUAGCUAAUUGGUAUCAGUAAUAAUCCAAAUCUUACAGUGUGGCAUUGUUUCUGGAAGGCAUGGAGCAAUAAAGGCUAACUUGUAUGCAUCUUAAUAAAUACAUAUAUGCAA